GCGCAGGUGAUAGAUAAUUCGCGCGGUCACGAAUCUGUCUGUCCUGGUUUGAUACACCAGCGGUCGGGGGUUCGAAACCCUCUUCGCGCA
Molecule: transfer RNA, 90 nt
Filed under: Gordonia sp. PDNC005
Lineage: Bacteria; Bacillati; Actinomycetota; Actinomycetes; Mycobacteriales; Gordoniaceae
Description: tRNA-Ile
Source: RNAcentral